Molecule: non-coding RNA, 227 nt
Organism: Pelobates cultripes (western spadefoot toad)
Lineage: Eukaryota; Metazoa; Chordata; Amphibia; Anura; Pelobatidae
Source: the annotation of a GenBank genome assembly
UGCAUGUCUUUUUGUUCUUUUUUUGAACCAAGAGAGAAUUUAGGAGACCAUUACUCUUUGACUGAUCUCUUGUUGGAUCCUUACUGAAAUUGGGCACCAGCAAUUUAAUUGGUGGUGAUCUAGUUAUUAUUAAGUAAUGUGCCAUGUUUUUGGAUCCCUGACAAUUUCAUAGAGCUUGAACCGUUUAAAGAAUAUGCAUUUAGAACUGGUAAUUCACAAUUUUGAUG